CACACAGUGAGAUAGGUCAAUGCCUAUCUUUUUAAUUCUCCUCUCUCUGUCCUUCCUUCCUGACAUCAUCGGGUUAUUGCAGUCCUGGGAAGCCGAGCGUGUGAGCUUCCCCAGGUCAUUAAGGACCGUCGUGAAAAGAGUCUCGGCAGGCCGGAGAUAAACCAGCCAGCAAACGCCGUAAGCUCCCAAUAAAGACGGCUCUGUGGAGGGCCAAGCUGGACUCUGAGCCCGGGAUUAAAGACCGUCUGAAAGGAAGAAAAAGUCAAUAGAACCGCACCAAAAUAUGAAGUGAAAGAGGUGCGAGGCGACAGGGGGGCGGCGGAGAUGAAUGGGGAACUUAUCAGCAUUCGGAGUGCAUGCGAGAGUUCUCUCAACGGGACGAUGGUCUGUGAGGAUGCAUCUUCAGUCUUCACGCUGGAGUAAUGCCAAUGGCGUACUUCACACUGGAGAUGCCAGUGUCAGGACUCAAGGGGGUGCUAGAGUUUCCUUCAAAUGUCUGUAUCUUUACACCAGCCAAAAAAGCUGAUUCCAGACCAGCGCUAUUGGGCGACGUGGACUGCAGGAGAAUCCAGCAGCUGCUGACCAGAGUGAAACCUGAGACGUCAGACGUAUUGAGAGACGAGACGUCAGAGUUUAUAUCCUGCUGUGUGAGGACGCCUGUAGUCUGUCCAGCGUUUUCACAUUCAUCUCAACUUCUGCUCAUAUACCAAUGCUUUGUAACCUGAAUAUUUUGUAAGUCAUAUCAGAUAUCAUCUCAAAACAUCAGAAUUCUCUUAUGUGAGUUUAUAUCUUGGAACAUGUUGCAGCGUUGCCAAAAAAUGUUGCUCCCUUUAUUGGUCCAAUUGUCAAGUUUGUUGACAUGAAUAAAGAAAAGAUGAAGAAACCUCGGUACGCUUACUCGACCCCAUCAGUAUCCAUUACUCUUUUUUAACCCUUAUGCAAAUUAACCAUGGUUUUACUACAAUUAAAACACGGUCACUGUAGGUAACCACAAAAUAAUCAUUGUAUUGACAACCAUGGUUAGUGUAGUAAAACUAUGGUUUUGCUAAAAGUAAUCAAUAUACACCAAACAACUAUGGUUACUACAAUUUUCAAAAAAAAAAAAAAAAACAUGUAAGAUUUUUGUAAGAUUUAAUUUUUGUGAUUGUGUGAAGGAUUGUGGUGAUGUUUAAAACUUAUGUUUCCAGGCCUCUUGGAUCCACAGGUUAUCUGUAUUGGCAGACAAUGAGGUUAAACUUCUCUACUAGCUUUAUGUGGCCAUGUACGAGUGCCUUGAAGCUUGUAAACUAACUGGAGAAGUUCACAUAGAGUUUACACAGUGAGUUCCUGACACAGCUAACUCUUGCAGAUGUUUUAGUGUCAACGGGUCUCUUGACAAGCCAUUACCUGUCACAACAAAUAGGCACCGAUACAAAGGCGAUCGUGUGUGUUUAUUUAGCCAUCGGUUUAAGUUAUUCAGCGCUCAAUCAGAGUAAACAUGACCAGGUCAAAAUAAGACUGAUGAAAGUUGACGUGUGUCAUUUUGUGGUAGUGGCACCCAACGAGAUCACACGCUUCACCUUGUGUCUUUAAGAAGAUGGAUUGUCAUCAUGUUAGAUGUUCAUGAAGCAAUCUCAUCCUUCUUACUCUUCUCAAAGCCUCAGUCAUUCCAGCAUCAGGUAGACCGGAUGCUGAGGGGCCACAUGGACCGUGACAACACCCAUCCAAAGGGUCCUGCUGAAGGCUGCAGAGAGGUCACUGAGAAGGUCAUCACUGGUGUCAAAGGUCAGAUGAUCGGAAGCUUGUGCGAGCCAUAACAUGAAGAUCAAUGUGUGAUUUUAUACAUUUUCUUUCAUGCAUUGAAUAGAGGCUUUAUUUACUAGUUAAUUUAGUCUUAUCAGUAGGUGAAGAAUGUACUAUAGGAUGGAUACAUUUAUUUAU
Non-coding RNA from Paramisgurnus dabryanus, 1920 nucleotides. Lineage: Eukaryota; Metazoa; Chordata; Actinopteri; Cypriniformes; Cobitidae. The record is from RefSeq and is a predicted model, not a curated record.